This 762-nucleotide ribosomal RNA is filed under the name uncultured Halobacteria archaeon. RNAcentral's name for it is "bacterial SSU rRNA". It matches the Rfam family "Archaeal small subunit ribosomal RNA", at positions 520 to 1280 of the family's 1478-position model. Lineage: Archaea; Methanobacteriati; Methanobacteriota; Halobacteria. The record is from RNAcentral.
CGUAGCCGGCCACGCGAGUCCAUCGGGAAAUCCGCACGCUCAACGUGCGGGCGUCCGGUGGAAACUGCCUGGCUUGGGACCGGAAGACUCGACGGGUACGUUCGGGGUAGGAGUGAAAUCCCGUAAUCCUGAACGGACCACCGAUGGCGAAAGCACGUCGAGAAGACGGAUCCGACGGUGAGGGACGAAAGCUAGGGUCUCGAACCGGAUUAGAUACCCGGGUAGUCCUAGCCGUAAACGAUGUCUGUUAGGUGCGACGCUGACUACGAGUCAGUGUUGUGCCGCAGGGAAGCCGCUAAACAGACCGCUUGGGAAGUACGUCCGCAAGGAUGAAACUUAAAGGAAUUGGCGGGGGAGCACUACAACCGGAGGAGCCUGCGGUUUAAUUGGACUCAACGCCGGACAUCUCACCAGCAUCGACAGCAACAAUGACGGCCAGUGUGAUGAGCUUGCCAGAGCUGCUGAGAGGAGGUGCAUGGCCGCCGUCAGCUCGUACCGUGAGGCGUCCUGUUAAGUCAGGCAACGAGCGAGACCCACACUCCUAAUUGCCAGCAUGACCCCUGGGUCGAUGGGUACAUUAGGAGGACUGCCGUGGCCAACACGGAGGAAGGAAUGGGCAACGGUAGGUCAGUAUGCCCCGAAUGUGCUGGGCUACACGCGGGCUACAAUGGCCGAGACAAUGGGUUCCCACCUCGAAAGAGGACGGUAAUCUCGUAAACUCGGUCGUAGUUCGGAUUGAGGGUUGAAACUCACCCUCAUGAA